This 254-nucleotide ribosomal RNA is filed under the name uncultured bacterium. Its description in RNAcentral is "partial 16S ribosomal RNA". It matches the Rfam family "Bacterial small subunit ribosomal RNA", at positions 524 to 776 of the family's 1533-position model. The record is from RNAcentral.
UACGAAGGGGGCUAGCGUUGUUCGGAAUUACUGGGCGUAAAGCGCACGUAGGCGGAUCGUUAAGUCGGAGGUGAAAUCCUGGAGCUCAACUCCAGAACUGCCUUCGAUACUGGCGAUCUUGGAGUCCGGGAGAGGUGAGUGGAACUCCGAGUGUAGAGGUGAAAUUCGUAGAUAUUCGGAAGAACACCAGUGGCGAAGGCGGCUCACUGGCCCGGUACUGACGCUGAGGUGCGAAAGCGUGGGGAGCAAACAGG